RNAcentral lists this ribosomal RNA (301 nucleotides) under uncultured bacterium. RNAcentral's name for it is "partial 16S ribosomal RNA". It matches the Rfam family "Bacterial small subunit ribosomal RNA", at positions 509 to 809 of the family's 1533-position model. The record is from RNAcentral.
CAGUAGCCGCGGUAAUACAGAGGGUGCGAGCGUUAAUCGGAUUUACUGGGCGUAAAGCGUGCGUAGGCGGCUUCUUAAGUCGGAUGUGAAAUCCCUGAGCUUAACUUAGUAAUUGCAUUCGAUACUGGGAAGCUAGAGUAUGGGAGAGGAUGGUAGAAUUCCAGGUGUAGCGGUGAAAUGCGUAGAGAUCUGGAGGAAUACCGAUGGCGAAGGCAGCCAUCUGGCCUAAUACUGACGCUGAGGUACGAAAGCAUGGGGAGCAAACAGGAUUAGAUACCCGAGUAGUCCCUGUCUCUUAUAA